UACGAAGGGGGCUAGCGUUGUUCGGAAUUACUGGGCGUAAAGCGCACGUAGGCGGACAUUUAAGUCGGGGGUGAAAUCCCAGGGCUCAACCCUGGAACGGCCUCCGAUACUGGGUAUCUGGAGUCCGAGAGAGGUGAGUGGAAUUCCGAGUGUAGAGGUGAAAUUCGUAGAUAUUCGGAAGAACACCAGUGGCGAAGGCGGCUCACUGGCUCGGAACUGACGCUGAGGUGCGAAAGCGUGGGGAGCAAACAGGAUUAGAAACCCCAGUAGUCC
This 273-nucleotide ribosomal RNA is filed under the name uncultured bacterium. Its description in RNAcentral is "partial 16S ribosomal RNA". It matches the Rfam family "Bacterial small subunit ribosomal RNA", at positions 524 to 796 of the family's 1533-position model. The record is from RNAcentral.